UACGAGGGGGGCGAGCGUUGUUCGGAUUCAUUGGGCGUAAAGGGCGCGUAGGCUGCGGGGCAAGUCGGGUGUGAAAUCUCAGAGCUCAACUCUGAAACUGCACUCGAUACUGCUUUGCUUGAGGACUGGAGAGGAGAUUGGAAUUCACGGUGUAGCAGUGAAAUGCGUAGAUAUCGUGAGGAAGACCAGUGGCGAAGGCGGAUCUCUGGACAGUUCCUGACGCUGAGGCGCGAAGGCCAGGGGAGCAAACGGG
RNAcentral lists this ribosomal RNA (253 nucleotides) under uncultured bacterium. RNAcentral describes it as "partial 16S ribosomal RNA". It matches the Rfam family "Bacterial small subunit ribosomal RNA", at positions 524 to 776 of the family's 1533-position model. The record is from RNAcentral.